Molecule: transfer-messenger RNA, 375 nt
Filed under: bacterium HR21
Lineage: Bacteria
Description: transfer-messenger RNA, SsrA
Rfam family: transfer-messenger RNA
About the family: Bacterial tmRNA, also known as 10Sa RNA or SsrA, is named for its dual tRNA and mRNA-like properties. Its role is to liberate the mRNA from a stalled ribosome. To accomplish this part of the tmRNA is used as a reading frame that ends in a translation stop signal.
Source: RNAcentral
GGGGAUGGAUCGGUCUCGACGGGAUGGGAGAAUCCAAGAGCUGCAUGCCGUGCUUCGCCGGUGCUGCACGUAAAUUCAACCGGCGGACAAAAAGUGCCGAUGCGGUUGCAUACCGCAUGGCUGCCUAAUCCGAGGGAUUAGGCGCCAUCGUCUGCUCGGGAUUGCGUGCCCAUCCGCCCCAGAGCAGGCGUGGACUCCCGAUGGGCAGCAUCUCCGGAGCUGUCGCCGGGCGCCGGAGAUGCUCAGAGAAAGCGGCGAUAGCUUCGGUUGUCCUGCCACUCGGAGCCGCCGAAGCGAACCUGGAAAGAGUGGCUGAGCAUGGAGAAGCUCUUGGGUUCACAUCUCGGACGUGGGUUCGACUCCCACCAUCUCCAC